AACCUUACCAAAUCUUGACAUCCUUUGACCACUCUAGAGAUAGAGUUUUCCCCUUCGGGGGACAAAGUGACAGGUGGUGCAUGGUUGUCGUCAGCUCGUGUCGUGAGAUGUUGGGUUAAGUCCCGCAACGAGCGCAACCCUUAAACUUAGUUGCCAGCAUUUAGUUGGGCACUCUAGGUUGACUGCCGGUGACAAACCGGAGGAAGGUGGGGAUGACGUCAAAUCAUCAUGCCCCUUAUGAUUUGGGCUACACACGUGCUACAAUGGACAAUACAAAGGGCAGCUAAACCGCGAGGUCAUGCAAAUCCCAUAAAGUUGUUCUCAGUUCGGAUUGUAGUCUGCAACUCGACUACAUGAAGCUGGAAUCGCUAGUAAUCGUAGAUCAGCAUGCUACGGUGAAUACGUUCCCGGGUCUUGUACACACCGCCCGUCACACCACGAGAGUUUGUAACACCCGAAGCCGGUGGAGUAACCAUUUAUGGAGCUAGCCGUCGAAGGUG
Molecule: ribosomal RNA, 500 nt
Filed under: Staphylococcus saprophyticus
Lineage: Bacteria; Bacillati; Bacillota; Bacilli; Caryophanales; Staphylococcaceae
Description: bacterial SSU rRNA
Rfam family: Bacterial small subunit ribosomal RNA
Source: RNAcentral